GCUGAGUACAGGUCUGAAGCUAGAUUACUAGCGAUAUAGAGAUUACAGAGAUAAUUGAGCUUUAUUAAGCUUCGCACUUGUUUGAGGAUACAGAGUUCUAUAGUUCACUGAGUUUUGAAAAUCAUGGCUCGGUUGGAAUUAUCGAGAAACUGACAUAGGCUCUAGACAAAAGCUCUAUUUUCGGGUAUAAAUACCCCCAGUACUCGAUAACAUAAAAGUAAAGCAUCAUCAUUUGUUCAAGCAUCACAA
RNAcentral lists this long non-coding RNA (249 nucleotides) under Capsicum annuum. Its description in RNAcentral is "long non-coding RNA (CANN_LNC012779)". Lineage: Eukaryota; Viridiplantae; Streptophyta; Magnoliopsida; Solanales; Solanaceae. The record is from RNAcentral.